RNAcentral lists this ribosomal RNA (460 nucleotides) under uncultured bacterium. Its description in RNAcentral is "partial 16S ribosomal RNA". It matches the Rfam family "Bacterial small subunit ribosomal RNA", at positions 338 to 795 of the family's 1533-position model. The record is from RNAcentral.
CCUACGGGUGGCAGCAGUGAGGAAUAUUGGUCAAUGGACGGAAGUCUGAACCAGCCAUGCCGCGUGCAGGAUGACGGCUCUAUGAGUUGUAAACUGCUUUUGUACGAGAAUAAUAGUUCUUACGUGUAGGGAUUUGCAUGUAUCGUACGAAUAAAGAUCGGCUAACUCCGUGCCAGCAGCCGCGGUAAUACGGAGGAUUCGAGCGUUAUCCGGAUUUAUUGGGUUUAAAGGGUGCGUAGGCGGUCGGAUAAGUUAGAGGUGAAAUCCCGAGGCUCAACUUCGGAAUUGCCUCUGAUACUGUUCGGCUAGAGAGUAGUUGCGGUAGGCGGAAUGUAUGGUGUAGCGGUGAAAUGCUUAGAUAUUACUCAGAACACCGAUUGCGCAGGCAGCUUGCUAAUCCGCAUCUGACGCUGAUGCACGAAAGCGUGGGUAGCGAACAGGAUUAGAUACCCUAGUAGUC